RNAcentral lists this long non-coding RNA (591 nucleotides) under Mytilus galloprovincialis (Mediterranean mussel). Lineage: Eukaryota; Metazoa; Mollusca; Bivalvia; Mytilida; Mytilidae. The record is from RNAcentral.
UGAUGAAAACUGCCUAUGCAAUAUAAUGUGUAAACUAGGCCAAUACAGAAUAACUCGGCAAUACAGAUUUUUUUCUGUAUUGGCCGAGUUAUUCUAUAUUGGCCGAGUUGACACAAGUGCAGGAAUUCGGAACGUCUCUAGAUUUUACAUCGAAAGUCACGAUAAACACAAACUGAAAGUAAACAGUUGUUUUGAAGACGCAGUUGUCAUUUAGUGAUCUUAAACAUGCUGAAAAUGUCAGAAUGGCAUACAUUUCAGGCUAAAGACGGUUACAUUCAUUUAAAAGGUAUUUUGAAAGCAGACGAUAGAACUAUUUCAGGUUUGGGGAACGAGUAGAUUAUCACGAAAGUUCAUUUCUUGACGACCUCAUAAUUUCACGAUUGUACACAUCGAUUUUAAAUUAGUUUCCGCAUAACACAUGCAAUGGCAGUACCUUUCCAAUUACUAUUUAUGUGUUGCGUCUAAAUUUAAGUUGUAACACUUUAUAGUGACUGAAAAGGGUAGAAAAAUUCAUCAGAUGAAAAAAUGCUGAAGACACCUGGAAACAGCACCAGAUGGUCCAGAUCAUUAUGUAUUGCAUCUAAUACAAAG